CUUGGCCUACGGGGGGCAGCAGUGGGGGAUAUUGCACAAUGGGGGAAACCCUGAUGCAGCGACGCCGCGUGAGUGAAGAAGUAUUUCGGUACGUAAAGCUCUAUCAGCAGGGAAGAAUAAUGACGGUACCUGACUAAGAAGCCCCGGCUAACUACGUGCCAGCAGCCGCGGUAAUACGUAGGGGGCAAGCGUUAUCCGGAUUUACUGGGUGUAAACGGAGCGUAGACGGCUGUGCAAGUCUGAAGUGAAAUGCCGGGGCUCACCCCCGGACCUGCUUUGGAAACUGCACAGCUAGCGUGCAGGAG
This 305-nucleotide ribosomal RNA is filed under the name uncultured bacterium. Its description in RNAcentral is "bacterial SSU rRNA". It matches the Rfam family "Bacterial small subunit ribosomal RNA", at positions 331 to 654 of the family's 1533-position model. The record is from RNAcentral.